Ornithorhynchus anatinus (platypus) is the source of this 87-nucleotide non-coding RNA. The record is from Rfam. NCBI's taxonomy places the organism in Eukaryota, Metazoa, Chordata, Mammalia, Monotremata, Ornithorhynchidae.
AGAAUGUGCCGGUUUGGCAGUGCUUUGCUAGCUGGCUGUUCAAUAAAUGAUUCCAGCAGCUGGUUGCACGCCCCACUGUCACAAUCC